GCGGUUUGAAGGCCCCGAGGCAAGCAAAGGCUUCGCAAUAUGUCGGGCCUUUCCAUAACUCUGGCAACAAAUAUUAUAGGACCACUACUGAUAGCUAAGUAUUUUGCUUCUUUAUUGAUGAAAAGAACUGAAGCAUUUGGGCAUCAGUCUGCUGAUCAGGCCAAACAACACAAGACCAAAUUAAUCAACAUUACAGCAAAAGUGAGCUCCACUGGAGAAAAUGGUUGCAAGGUGAUAUCACAGUGUGGAUCUGAUCUGAUGAAACCAAAGCUAAUGCUGGUGCCUGCAUAUGAUGGCAACAGUACUCAGACCAYGAACUUGGGAACAUUGGCCUCAUAUUAGCUCUAAAUGUACUAGAGAACAGAUCAAACAACUAUUGACGUAGAGAAUAACAGAAAUUAUGUCAAACAAGGACUUCAGACGGUGUGUUUUGAG
This 435-nucleotide long non-coding RNA is filed under the name Apteryx haastii (Great spotted kiwi). RNAcentral describes it as "lncRNA (ENSAHAG00000004337.1)". Lineage: Eukaryota; Metazoa; Chordata; Aves; Apterygiformes; Apterygidae. The record is from RNAcentral.